This is a non-coding RNA of Paramuricea clavata, 343 nucleotides long. NCBI's taxonomy places the organism in Eukaryota, Metazoa, Cnidaria, Anthozoa, Malacalcyonacea, Plexauridae. The record is from the annotation of a GenBank genome assembly.
GUCCCCUAAUUAAUAUAAGCCCAGUAAUCGCUGCUUAAUACAUGUUUAUUUCUUGUUUAUGACUGAUUUGUUUUAUGUCUGACUUGUUUAUUACUAACACAAAAUAUCGUCCAUGUAUAAGCACCCCCGUAUAUAAGCCCCCCCCCUUGUAUAAGCCCAUCAAAAAUCGCUUAUGAAAGUAUAUAAGCUCAGGGCUUAUAGUCGGAGGUUUACAGUAGAGUGUAGCGAAAUAGGAGAAUAAUAAUCUAUUAUGAGAAUAAGCCUGUUACACUUCUUUGAAGCAUUAAGAUGCUGAUUAGUUGACUAUUUGACUUUUGUGAGACUGUGGUUACAUGUAUAGUAU